This 406-nucleotide ribosomal RNA is filed under the name uncultured bacterium. Its description in RNAcentral is "bacterial SSU rRNA". It matches the Rfam family "Bacterial small subunit ribosomal RNA", at positions 976 to 1381 of the family's 1533-position model. The record is from RNAcentral.
UAGCCUUGACAUUGAUUGAACGAACCAGAGAUGGAUCGGUGCCCUUCGGGGAGCAUGAAAACAGGUGCUGCACGGCUGUCGUCAGCUCGUGUCGUGAGAUGUUGGGUUAAGUCCCGCAACGAGCGCAACCCUCGUCCUUAGUUACUAACGGUUCGGCCGAGGACUCUAAGGAGACUGCCUUCGUAAGGAGGAGGAAGGUGAGGACGACGUCAAGUCAUCAUGGCCCUUACGGCUAGGGCAACACACGUGCUACAAUGGUUAGGACAAUGAGAAGCGAUACCGCGAGGUGGAGCAAAUCUAUAAACCUAAUCUCAGUUCGGAUAGCAGUCUGCAACUCGACUGCUUGAAGCUGGAAUCACUAGUAAUCGUAAAUCAGCUAUGUUACGGUGAAUACGUUCCCGGGUCU